RNAcentral lists this non-coding RNA (24 nucleotides) under Arabidopsis thaliana (thale cress). Lineage: Eukaryota; Viridiplantae; Streptophyta; Magnoliopsida; Brassicales; Brassicaceae. The record is from RNAcentral.
ACAUUGGUCGAGUAUGGAUGAUGU